RNAcentral lists this ribosomal RNA (497 nucleotides) under uncultured bacterium. RNAcentral describes it as "partial 16S ribosomal RNA". It matches the Rfam family "Bacterial small subunit ribosomal RNA", at positions 28 to 507 of the family's 1533-position model. The record is from RNAcentral.
GAUGAACGCUGGCGGCGUGCCUAAUACAUGCAAGUCGAGCGAACGGACGAGAAGCUUGCUUCUCUGAUGUUAGCGGCGGACGGGUGAGUAACACGUGGAUAACCUACCUAUAAGACUGGGAUAACUUCGGGAAACCGGAGCUAAUCCCGGAUGAUAUUCUGAACCGCAUGGUUCAAAAGUGAAAGACGGUCUUGGUGUCACUUAUAGAUGGAUCCGCGCUGCAUUAGCUAGUUGUUAAGGUAACGGCUUACCAAGGCAACGAUGCAUAGCCGACCUGAGAGGGUGAUAGGCCACACUGGAAGUGAGACACGGUCCAGACUCCUACGGGAGGCAGCAGUCGGGAAUCUUCCGCAAUGGGCGAAAGCCUGACGGAGCAACGCCGCGUGAGUGAUGAAGGUCUUCGGAUCGUAAAACUCUGUUAUUAGGGAAGAACAUAUGUGUAAGUAACUGUGCACAUCUUGACGGUACCUAAUCAGAAAGCCACGGCUAACUACGUG